GCGCAGCAGUCGCGAAACUUCGCAAUGCGCGAAAGCGCGACGAGGGAUUCCAAGUGCAUGCACUAAGUGUAUGCUUUCGUGAGUUUAAACGCUCACGGAAUAAGGGCUGGGUAAGACUGGUGCCAGCCGCCGCGGUAAUACCAGCGGCCCUAGUGGUGAUCGUUAUUAUUGGGCCUAAAGCGUCCGUAGCCGGUCCGGUAAAUCUCUGGGUAAAUCGUUGGGCUUAACUCAGCGAAUUCUGGGGAGACUGCUGGACUUGGGACCGGGAGAGGUCGGAGGUACUCCAGGGGUAGGGUGAAAAUCCUGUAAUCCUUGGGGGACCACCGGUGGCGAAGGCGUCCGACCAGAACGGGUCCGACGGUAAGGGACGAAGCCCUGGGGCGCGAACCGGAUUAGAUACCCCGGUAGU
RNAcentral lists this ribosomal RNA (409 nucleotides) under uncultured microorganism. RNAcentral describes it as "bacterial SSU rRNA". It matches the Rfam family "Archaeal small subunit ribosomal RNA", at positions 330 to 745 of the family's 1478-position model. The record is from RNAcentral.